This is a long non-coding RNA of Vigna unguiculata (cowpea), 394 nucleotides long. RefSeq lists it as uncharacterized. The record is from RefSeq and is a predicted model, not a curated record. Lineage: Eukaryota; Viridiplantae; Streptophyta; Magnoliopsida; Fabales; Fabaceae.
UCUGCCUCCCACUUCCCAAACAACUCACUUACACUCUCCCUUUUUUUCUCCAAUAGAGUUCUGCUAGGGUUUGAGCAAGUUUCCCCUACAAGCUAGACAAAAGCAUCUCCAACUUCUUAAGCUACUAUGGAUAUUGGUGCUCCUCCGCUAAGAGUCUUUUUCGUAGCUUUCAGUCUAAAAGAUGUGGAAACGCCUAGUGGUCACCAAGGUGAUGGAAACUCUGCAGUGUAGCCAAGCUUGGGUUGGAUCUCAUUCCUUCGAGUACUCUCUGAAGGCACUAUUGCCUAUGUAAUAUCUUGCUCUAUGAGCAAGCUUUUUGGGCAACUAUCAAAAAUCUUAAAUCUUGUUUUGUUCAUGGCAUCAUGGUGUGCCUUAGUUUUCUUUUCUAAGUAUA